Molecule: ribosomal RNA, 460 nt
Filed under: uncultured bacterium
Lineage: Bacteria
Description: partial 16S ribosomal RNA
Rfam family: Bacterial small subunit ribosomal RNA
Source: RNAcentral
CCUACGGGAGGCAGCAGUGAGGAAUAUUGGUCAAUGGGCGAGAGCCUGAACCAGCCAAGCCGCGUGAAGGAUGAAGGAUCUAUGGUUUGUAAACUUCUUUUAUAUGGGAAUAAAUUGAGGUACGUGUUCCUUUUUGUAUGUACCAUAUGAAUAAGCAUCGGCUAACUCCGUGCCAGCAGCCGCGGUAAUACGGAGGAUGCGAGCGUUAUCCGGAUUUAUUGGGUUUAAAGGGUGCGUAGGUGGUUAAAUAAGUUAGCGGUGAAAGUUUGUGGCUCAACCAUAAAAUUGCCGUUGAGACUGGUUGACUAGAGUAUAGUUGAGGUAGGCGGAAUGCGUGGUGUAGCGGUGAAAUGCAUAGAUAUCACGCAGAACUCCGAUUGCGAAGGCAGCUUACUAAACUAUAACUGACGCUGAGGCACGAAAGCGUGGGGAUCAAACAGGAUUAGAUACCCCGGUAGUC